RNAcentral lists this ribosomal RNA (514 nucleotides) under uncultured bacterium. Its description in RNAcentral is "partial 16S ribosomal RNA". It matches the Rfam family "Bacterial small subunit ribosomal RNA", at positions 28 to 523 of the family's 1533-position model. The record is from RNAcentral.
GAUGAACGCUGGCGGCGUGCCUAAUACAUGCAAGUCGAGCGAACUGAUUAGAAGCUUGCUGCUAUGACGUUAGCGGCGGACGGGGGAGUAACACGUGGGCAACCUGCCUGUAAGACUGGGAUAACUUCGGGAAACCGAAGCUAAUACCGGAUAGGCUCUUCCCCUUGCUGGGCGAUGAUUGAAAGAUCGUUCCGGCUAUCACUCACAGAUGGGCCCGCGGUGCAUUAGCUAGUUGGUGAGUUAACGGCUCACCAAGGCAACGAUGCAUAGCCGACCUGAGAGGGUGAUCGGCCCCACUGGGACUGAGACACGGCCCAGAUUCCUACGGGAGGCAGCAGUAGGCAAUCUUCCUCAAUGGACGAAAGUCUGACGGAGCAACGCCGCGUGAGUGAUGAAGGCUUUCGGGUCGUAAAACUCUGUUGUUAGAGAAGAACAAGUACAAGAGUCACUGCUUGUACCUUGACGGUACCUAACCAGAAAGCCACGGCUAACUACGUGCCAGCAGCCGCGGUAA